AAUCAACGCUGGCGGCGUGCUUAACACAUGCAAGUCGAGCGGUAAGGCCCUUUCGGGGGUACACGAGCGGCGAACGGGUGAGUAACACGUGGGUGACCUGCCCUCAGCUCUGGGAUAAGCCUGGGAAACUGGGUCUAAUACUGGAUAUGACUCCACGGUGCAUGUCGUGGGGUGGAAAGCCUUGUGCGGCUGAGGAUGGGCCCGCGGCCUAUCAGCUUGUUGGUGGGGNGAUGGCCUACCAAGGCGACGACGGGUAGCCGGCCUGAGAGGGCGACCGGCCACACUGGGACUGAGACACGGCCCAGACUCCUACGGGAGGCAGCAGUGGGGAAUCUUGCGCAAUGGGCGAAAGCCUGACGCAGCGACGCCGCGUGAGGGAUGACGGCCU
RNAcentral lists this ribosomal RNA (388 nucleotides) under uncultured bacterium. RNAcentral's name for it is "bacterial SSU rRNA". It matches the Rfam family "Bacterial small subunit ribosomal RNA", at positions 28 to 417 of the family's 1533-position model. The record is from RNAcentral.